This 553-nucleotide small RNA is filed under the name Vigna angularis var. angularis. RNAcentral's name for it is "Non-protein coding transcript". The record is from RNAcentral. Lineage: Eukaryota; Viridiplantae; Streptophyta; Magnoliopsida; Fabales; Fabaceae.
UUGUUUGGUUCUUGGUAUUGAUUAACUUAGAUUCAAUUGUGGAGAUGUUAUUUCUAUAAUUUGUGAGUGGUGAGUAAUGUAUAUUGUUGAGAUUGUGUAUAUGUUGAUUGUGGCAGAAAGUAUAUGAUUACAAAGUGAUGAAAGUAUGAUCCAAGUUGUAAAUCAAGUUCCAUCUGUGUAGGAUCUCUUGGUGAGAUCCUUAGUGUUUUAGAAUGAAAGUAGGAGCUCAGUCUUGGGGGUCAUUCUGAAACUCCAAUGGCUAAUCAUACUCAAGUAGAGGGAUUAAUCCAUGUGGUGAGGAGUAGCAGGAGGUCUUAGUCUUGGGGGCUUCCAGUAUGCUUCAAGGCCCGGAACAGACUAACCUCGUGAGUGUGACAGGGUGAAGAACCCAAGUUUCAUAAGUCACCACGAGUGCAGGACCCGCCAUAGCUCGACUAUCAUUCUAAAGUCCGGACGAGUCAAGUCUAGAAGAUAACAUGCUACGAUAGGAAGAUGAGGUUUCUUUGGAGGCAACAUUGGAGAGAAAUGAAGAUGAUGCUGCAGCUUAAACUCA